RNAcentral lists this long non-coding RNA (4825 nucleotides) under Homo sapiens (human). Its description in RNAcentral is "HSALNT0234699". The record is from RNAcentral. Lineage: Eukaryota; Metazoa; Chordata; Mammalia; Primates; Hominidae.
UGAGCCUCAGUUUCCUCACCUGGCAAAUGGGGUGGGAAGACGCAAUGUGAUGUUUUCUUGCUAAAGAGCCUCAGCUGCUGCAGAAUGGGCCUGGGGGAAUCACCUCCUCCCCACCUUCCGCUUGGCCGGGCUGGCGCCUAACACGCGUAACUUCUCCCCUGCCAAGAGGAGACGCUGGUGGGAAGGCAGCCUGACUGCUGACAUCAGCCCAAUCUUGACUUCUAGGUGUGAAGAUAGAAGCUUCCUCCAGUGAAGCAGCAGCCCCGGCACUGGGCCUGCAGUGGAGACCGGGAAUGAGAGAAGCCCCUGGCGUGGGCUGGCAAGGACGCAGAGCACGGAGAGCACCUGGGGCAGGGCCGGCGCCAACGGCAUAACACAUGCUGCUGCUCCUCUCCCGCGGGGCCCAUGGAGAUGGCUGGAAGCAGCCCAACGUCAGGGCAGAUCCCUACCUUCACACUCACAUAAGAGAAGAGUGAAGUUUCGGGGACUCCACACCUCAAGGUAGUUCCACCGUGCGAGGUGCUGCGCUCACAGUAUUACUCAUGCACCUUUCUGAUAAGAAAAGUGAAAAUGUGAAGUUGAAAACUGAAGACGCCCAGCAACUUCCUGAAUCCAGCCCUCCACGUCCUGCCCUACGGGACGGACGACUCCCAAAGAGGAAUCGUUGGUGGAAGUCCCAUGUUUCGUUGCCGUUGGAAGGGGGAACUGGUCAAGGCAGGUUCGGUUUCAGGAUCUCACCUCACCUGGGAGCGGGGAGGUGACGGUCCCCCAGCGGGGCAGUCACGCCGCCCUGGCCUUGAGGCCGGACUCCACACUGCGCUUGGCUAGGGUGGUCCGUCCCUCUCUUGGCCACCUGUGUCGGGCAGCCUGACGCCGCAUCUUCCUGAGCAGCUGUCGGCGUUGCCGUGUGGCAGCCACGCUGUUGCAACAUGAGCGGCUGAGGUUUCUGAGGCCCCUCCGGCCAGAAGCUGGCCCAGGUGCUGUGGGCAAGACAUGUGCGAGAGACUGAAUUAGACCCCCUUGGAAAAAAAAACCACGCACACAAACACCAUCCUGCCUUUUUUUUUUUCAGGGCUCAUCUCUGGACCCACACCCCAUAACCAACAUGGAAGCCUGGAUUUGGCCCUGGAUCAGGCUGGCUCCCCAGGGAAGGGUCCAGUCUCUCCGGGGAGACAUCCCGACUUCGGGUCCUGCUUUCUCUACUGUAAUUCGAGGCUGGCCAUGCCCCUCAGUGGGCCUCAGUUUCCUCACCUGUACAGUGGGGAAAUCCAUAGGACCUACCUCCUGGGAGGGCACUGAGGACCGAGGGAAUGAAUGCCUGUCCAGUGCUCAUGAUCGUGACAAGCACUGCGCAGAAUAAAUCCGGAAUAAACGCUCACCGGGUGAGGGAGGGCAGGGAAGAUUUCUAAAAUCCCCCUGAUUUGAGAUGAGAUCUGAUUCACCCACUUAAAAAACCACAUUGGGAAAUAAUUUGAAAUGUACAGGAAAGUUGUAAGAAUCGCACAAAGAAUACUCCCAAACGUUUUGCCCAUACUCACCUGUUUUCUGUGGCAACUUUGAGACAGAAUUCACACGCCAUACAGUUGACCCAUCUCAACUGUACAAUUCAAUGGCCUUUCAUAGUCAGAGUUGUGCAACUGUCACCAGGGUCAAUUUUAGAACGUUUUCAUCACUCUCCUCUCACAAAAAACCCCUCACGUCCCUUGGCUGUCACUCUGCACCUAUUAAUAUUUUUUUGUGUUAAGACUUUUUCUUUGAGAUGGAGUCUCAGUCUGUUGCCCAGGCUGGAGUGCAGUGGCGUACAUCUCGGCUCACAGUAACCUCCACCUCCUGGGUUCAAGCGAUUCUCCUGCCUCAGCCUCCUGAGUAGCUGGGAUUACGGGUGCCCGCCUCCACGCCCGGCUAGUUUUUGUAUUUUUAGUAGAGACAGGGUUUCACCAUGUUGGUCAGGCUGGUCUCGAACUCCUGACCUCGUGAUCCACCUGCCUUGGCCCCACAAAGUGCUAGGAUUACAGGUGUGAAACACUAUGCCCGGUAAAUGUUAAGACUUUUAUGCAUCUUCUUGACCUGUGGUCUUCAGCAUUUGAGUCUUAGGGGACCUUUAAAAUAUUAAGAUAGGCCAGGCACAGUGGCUCAUGCCUGAAAUCCCAGAACUUUAGGAGGCUGUGGUGAGACGAUUGCUUGAAGCCAGGAGUUUGGGACGAGCCUGGGCAUCAUAGUGAGACCCCCAUCUUGGCAAAAAAGUAAACAUAAAAAAUAUUAGCUGGGCAUAGUGGCGAGCAUCUGUAGUUCUAGCUAAUUGGGAGGCUGAGGUGGCAGGAUCCCUUGAGCCCAAGAGUUCAAGAGUAUAGUGAGCUAUGAUUGUGCCACUGCACUCCAGCCUGGGCAAUAGAGUGAGACCCUGUUUCUAAAAAACAAAAGCCAUACUAAAAUACUCUGCAAAGACCUCAUAUUCAUUUAUUCACUCAACAAAUGUUUGUUGAGCACCUGUUUUAUGCCAAGUCCAAUACUAGGAGCUCUGGUUGCAACAGAGAGCAAAACAGACACGGCCCUGCCAGUCACCUGGGGCAGGGAAUCCCCCUGCCCCACUCCCUGCAAUAAUCGAUUGUAGAGAAGAAUUAGCAAAUCACAGCUGAGAAGGGUCUGCUGGAAAACACAGCAGAGGCCUUGACUUUGCCUGAUGAAUGGAGGUGGGCUUCCUGGCAGAGGGGCGUCUGUGGGUGAGGGAGGAAGUAGGACUGGCUGGUCAGAGGGGACGGCACACAGGAAGCUGCUGAGCAGGCAGGAGUGUGCUCCGUGGAGGAGCUAGGAGGAGGCCAGUUCUUAGCUGGAGGGUGGAGAAGGAGGGCUAAAGCCAAGCAUGCAGAGGCCGAGGGAUGUGCAGCGCCGGUCAGCCCACGUGAGAUCUUUCCUCCCUCUCCGUGGACUGGGAACCUCCAUAGUUACCACAUGCUGCGCUGACUUCUCUAACACGCUUUGGCCAAUGAUGUUUCCCUAAUCACAGCAGCUCCUCAUUUAGAAUGUGUUCUUAUUUAGGAUGCGUUCGAGUCUCUGUGAUCUGAACUCCACAUGAGGACUCCCUGGGUCCCUCAGGAACCCAUGUCCUACCAGUUAGACUCCCUUGUUUUAGACCCCUUAUUUCAGCAUUUUAUAAACUCUGUCCCGUAGGAUACUGACCCAUUUGCAACUUAGCCAAAAAAAUGAAAGUUAUGUAGCCAAACAAGCUUUGAAAAUACCCCAUUUCUUUCUGGACGUUUCACAAUGCACAGGAGCAUAUUAAAGGCUCUGAUAAGUCCUGCAGCAAAGAACCAAGUGCUUCCCAAAUGCAGUAGUUCAGGGAACCUCUUUGUUCCAUUACUCCCAUGAAGUUUACAAAACUAGUGCUAUGUGGAAAAUGCUUUGUAAAACACGGAUAAUUCUGCAAGUGAUCUGCCUGAGUGUGGAAUGCAGAUAUCCAGCCAGAGUCUGUAACUUCAGACAUGGUGUGGAAGGCCAAUGUGAAAAGCAGGAAUAGUAGAAUGGUUUUAAAAGGGUUCCCUCUAAUUACUCUUGAGUAGGAAAGUAGGAGCCGCCGACACCUGGGAACUGUCCUGGAGCCCCUGGCCGGGCUGGGCCAUUCUCCGGUUUGACAUAAACCAUCUCCCAGAACACCAGCUGCACAGAAGGUCACUCUGAGAUCACAGUAGUGAGACAAAGACAGGUCACGGUGUCACCCACAAACACCAAUUAUCCCCCUUUCCCCACUAAAAUGAAGAAUGGCUGUUUCUUGACCAAUCUCAGCUUUAUGCUGGUGCCCGUCUCCCCUCUCUAGAGGUGACAGUGAUUGAGGCACCCACUCAGAGAAUUGCCCCCUUUCUUUUGGCUUCUGGUCUACUGAGCCCCACUUCCCUAGACCUUCGCCUUCCCACUACCCACCCAAACCCCAAAUCCUACAGGGGCUCUUCCCAGCACCCUCUCACCCCGAAGUUCCUAUGGGGAGCGUCCACCCUCAUUGCAAGGUGGAAGAAACCUGGCUCUUCAACCAAAGGCCCCCAGGGGAGCGUGGCUGGAGGGCACGACACUCUCAAAAAUAUAUAAUUCUCUGAACAAAAUAUACCUCUGUUCCUUUACAAAUGAAGCAUCUGUUGAAAGUGUGUGGAACUUAUUUUGCAAAGAUAUUCCUUGUGAUAAGGCUUGAUUCCAGGUAACUCUUUUCAAAGUGAGUCACAGACCAGGAAGUCGUAUGGAAUGAGUGAUGGAAAGAUGUAUUUUACACGUUGCCCCUCAAGUCCAAACUUGAACUCAUGUCUCUCUGAACCAGAGUGGAGCUUCCUUCCAUUGCAGCCCCAUAUAUGCUGUCAGGGAGCUAGGGGGCCUGGGAGGGUGGCCACCCUGCACACCGUGUGUUACUGGGUGAGGAUUUGCACGUUUGUGGCUGAGGGGAAGACGUUCACGUUGGAUAGUUGUAAUUUCCAAUCCAGGCCCCAACUCUCUAUAACUGAGUGACUGUGGGUGAGUUUCUCCACGUUCCUGAACCUCAAUUUUCUCAUCUAUGAAGUGGGGAUGCCACUACAAAUCAGGUAGCACCUACAAAUCAGGUUUAAGGAUUUGAGUAGAUAACAUAUGUAAAGUGUUUAGCCAGUACCCUGCCAGCAAAUGGUGACCACCACUGUCACUGUUGUCACUGGUAUUAUCUAGUGGUCAAGGUCAGCGCAUCAGCCUUUGGUCAGUGUUCUUUCUCGGUUAGAGGACUUUUUGACCCCGGGUGUCCAUGAGGGUCACCUGGGGAACCUAAAAACAAUGGACUCCUGGGCUGGCCCCAAGUUUAGGGAGGAACUGGUCCUGG